RNAcentral lists this long non-coding RNA (901 nucleotides) under Mus musculus (house mouse). Its description in RNAcentral is "predicted gene 28535". Lineage: Eukaryota; Metazoa; Chordata; Mammalia; Rodentia; Muridae. The record is from RNAcentral.
CUUUCGUUCCGCAGCCAAGCCCUUGAUCCCAGAUGCUCGUGCCCAGCACCUGCAGCUUGCAGGUGCAGCUCCCUUUAGUUGGGCAUACUCGGUUGCAUGGUCUCUGCCAGGAACAAGCAACACUACCUGGGUUUUAAAACUGCUCUUCAGAGUACAGCUAGUAAUAUCUCACCUAACUUCAUCCAUGGUGGAGAAUCUUUUGGAAAAACCAAAUUUGUGUUCCUGGGCUCAUCUUUGAGCCCACAGCUGAAGGCUAACACUGGCUCACUGAGAAAACUGUCUACAUGCCACUAACCUUUGCAGCCAUGGAGCUCAACCACCCCUGCCCACAUCCAGCCCACAUGCAGCCCACAGAGCGCCGGCCCACUCUCACUUGUCGAAAGAUGAAACUCGCCAGGGGCUCAUCCAAGCAGGGAUGGUGGUCAAUGAAAGCAAAGAGGUCCAUGCCAGAGCCGUGCUUUUCCAUCACCAGCUGGAAGAACUCUUGGUUUUCGAAUAUAUCCAGAACCUGAAAAGAGACAAGGCCAGGUCCAGUUUUGUCUAAAAACAACUCCAGUCAACAGAUUGUUAAAGAAGCGCCAUGACAGCACGCAGAGAAUCACCAUCUACCUUGAUUAUGUUGGCAUGGUCCACCUUGGACAGAAUUGCAAUCUCUAAAGUAACUCUUCCAAGUUUGGGAUCCUCAAUCCAGCAAUCCUCUAAAACCUUCUCCUUCUUAAUAAACUUCACCACCACCUAUAUGGGAGAAGAGCAGAGUCCUCUACCAUCUGUUAAGCCCUGUGCCCACCACUGGCUUUCUAUCUCCCCAAGACCCAUUAGCCAUGUAAAAAGAAUGUAGCAAGUCCCUGCAACAGGAGAAAAGGAGGAGGAAGCAGCUGAAUAAAAAGGCUGGCAAUUUCUA